CACCGUUGGCUUUUAUGACAUAUUUUACGAGUCCAUUGUGCUGAAGGUGCUGGAAUGCCAGGAGUACAUUCCAGCCAUCUUAAAGCCAACUCUACGCACCCCGUGGAUCUCCGAGGGCACUAAGAAAACAACUGUGAUGUUCUAUGCCUGGUCACAAAUUAAGAAGAAGAGGGAGUGUUUAAUGAGGCCUGAUGCGCUGUACCACCAUCUGUAUGAGGUGUUUGACUACACAGACCCAGUGAUCCUGUGGGCAGCCUAUGGACCACAGAGCAAGACCAAAGA
Long non-coding RNA from Oncorhynchus tshawytscha (Chinook salmon), 282 nucleotides. RefSeq lists it as uncharacterized. The record is from RefSeq and is a predicted model, not a curated record. NCBI's taxonomy places the organism in Eukaryota, Metazoa, Chordata, Actinopteri, Salmoniformes, Salmonidae. The transcript has 3 exons.